This is an RNA transcript of Tribolium madens (black flour beetle), 2266 nucleotides long. It is a transcript of the gene named rRNA N6-adenosine-methyltransferase ZCCHC4, with no coding region annotated. The transcript is spliced from 5 exons. Lineage: Eukaryota; Metazoa; Arthropoda; Insecta; Coleoptera; Tenebrionidae. The record is from RefSeq and is a predicted model, not a curated record.
CAUUGACGACCAAAGUAUUUUGUCUCCAACUGUACGUUACUUCAUUAAUCGCUUUUUUGGUCUCUUAAUUUUCCAAAGCAUUUUUUCUGCGGUCCAAAACCCAAGUCACUGCCUGUAAAGAACUUAAAAGUGGGCAGUUUUUCAGUAAGUUUUUCAAGAUGCCAGUAAUAAUAAUAAUAAUCGUUUCAAAAAUAAUAAUGCAUUCAAAUUUUAAAAUUUUCAAUUUUUCACGGUUGGCAAUGCUGCUCCAUCACACUAUGUGAUAAAGUGUGGUUAUGUCUGAUUCAUUUGUAAUUUUUCAAUUUCAACAAAUUAAAAGCAUGUCGGGAGUGGAAGUGAUUAUUGAAGACUUGCAAAGCCACCCUUGGUGCCCCCACGGCCCCACUCUUCUUUUUUCACGUAAUACUAAUGGAAUUAAGAGACGAUUUUUUGCUUGUUCAGCCUGCAGGGACCGCAAAUUGUGCCCCUUUUUUCUAUACGAAGACGAGAAACAUAAAUAUAAAACUGAAGUGUGGCACAAGGAGCGUGAAAAGUUUCUUCGGAAAAUCGAUCAUAGAAAAUUAUUUCUAAUAUUGAGCAAAAUUCAACAAUUAUCUCCGAGUGACAGGGCAUAUUGCCAUACGUGUUCUAGCUUUCAGUUGAAAAAAUUCUGGGACAAACACAUGGAACAUGAUUUUGUUAUAAAUAUUAGUGAUUAUCAAAUUAAACAUCCAAGUGAGUUUUUGUCCCCAUUGGAAGAUGCGAAGAAGGAAGCACAGUUUUUAUUUUCACGAGCUUCCGUCAGAGUAAUUGUGGAUAUUUUUAAAUGCUUGAAGUAUCGCAAAAUUGUUUGUUUGGGGACUCCCAGAAUACAUGAAUUUAUCACAAAUCAGUGCCCUGAUAUGGACAGUCUUUUAUUAGAUUUCGAUUCACGUUAUCAUAAUUUCUAUGGCCCUUUGCAAUUUUGUUGGUACAAUAGUUUUAAUAACCAUUUCUUUCACCCUGAGUCUCAAGAAGUAUUUGACGAUUUUUUAAAAUCUGAAAGUGUGGUCAUGAUUUUAGACCCUCCUUUUGGAGGUCGGGUAGAACCCCUAGCCCAAACAAUCAAUCAAAUUACUCAAAAAUACAAUCGUCUGAACAAACUUAAAGUGGAAUUGCCGAUUUUUUGGAUAUUUCCUUACUUUAUGGAACCGCAAAUAUUAAAUAGUCUUUCCGACUAUUCCAUGUUGGAUUAUAAAGUCGACUAUGACAAUCAUCCUUUGUUUCAAGAUGGCGCUAAAGCUCGAAAAUUUGGAUCACCAGUCCGAAUUUUCACGAAUGUUGACCCAAGCUCUUCCGCCAGAAGAAGGCUACAAGUUUUGUGCAGAAUGCAACAAAUGGGUUUCAAAAGAAAACAAACAUUGCCAAAUAUGUCGGAAAUGUACUUCAAAAGAUGGCCGGACGUACACCCAUUGCCUCAAGUGUGAAAAGUGUGUUAAACCGAGUUGGCAGCAUUGCAAAAAAUGUAACCGAUGUUGCCAGCCUGAUCAUAAAUGUGGGAAAUUGGUGUUUAGUCAGGAUUGUUUUCAUUGCAAACAACCGGGGCAUAAAAAACGAGAAUGUCCCAAUGUUAAUCACACAGAAUUGCAUAAGAAACGAAAAUUAAAAACAAAAGAUAAGGCGAAACGACUUAAAACUUAAAUAUACUGUUAGGAAUCCAUAGAAUUAAUUUCAUUUUUGACAAGUUCCGCCGCUUCCUCCAUUUCCAAUCCUUCCAAAAUAUACAAAAAGUUAUCCAAGGUGGCAUCUUCGUCGUCAUCAAACCACAACUGAAGCAUAUUUCUGGCCUGGUCAAUCUCUUUCUCAUUUUCCAUUGUGAAAAAUUGUAUUUCAUCAGUUUUAAAACCCAACUUACUGGCUAAUUUUUUCCAAUUCGGGGCGACUUUCUCACUGAAUAGUUGCAAUUGAUUUGGGUUUAUUUUAUGUUCAACUCGAGUGUUUUUGUCAUCCAUGAAUUCCUCCGUUUCUGACGGUUUAAUGUCUUCAGUGUUUUCAUCAACCUGCGUGUCUUUAAACAAAUUUUCUUCCUCGGUGUCGUUUUGUUGGGACUCUUGUGAAUUUUCCGUGAUACGUCCUGGCUUAUCAUGGGCAAUUUUCUUCACCAUCAUUUCCAAAUACGAAGAAAGGGGAUUCAUAAUUACAGUACUGUAAGUGAAGAAGUGGGGGCUCCGUUUAGCCAAUAGUCUCAAGGCCCUCCAUCCGUAAUUUCCAUCUUUUAGUAAAUUAUCUUCAUCUUUAACGGGGGUUG